Molecule: unclassified non-coding RNA, 102 nt
Organism: Otolemur garnettii (small-eared galago)
Lineage: Eukaryota; Metazoa; Chordata; Mammalia; Primates; Galagidae
Rfam family: Y RNA
About the family: Y RNAs are components of the Ro ribonucleoprotein particle (Ro RNP), in association with Ro60 and La proteins. The Y RNAs and Ro60 and La proteins are well conserved, but the function of the Ro RNP is not known.
Source: Ensembl
GGCUGGUCUGAUUGCAGUGUUGUUUACAACUACUUGAUAAUAGUCAGUUACAGAUUCCUUUGUUCCUACUUCACUCCCACUAUUUCACUUGAUUAGCCUUAA